AUGGCUCGCAAGAAGGUGACCCUCAAGUACAUCGCCAACGACUCCACCCGGCGCUCUAGGUUCAGGAAGCGUCUCAGGAGCCUGAUGAAAAAGGCGACCGAGCUGGCCACCAUGUGCGAUGUCAAGACCUGCGUCGUGGUGUACGGCGAGGGCGAGGCGGAGCCUCAGGUGUUCCCUUCCCACGCCGAGGCGGUGGAUAUCCUGAAUGAAUUCAAGAGCAUGCCGGAGCUGGGCCAUUGCAAGAAGACGAUGGACCAGGAGGCAUUCCUCACCCAGCGCAUCGCCAAGCUCCGGGACCAGGUGGACAAGGCUCGCCGCGAGUGCCAGGACAGCGAGAUCAGGUACCUCCUUUACAACAUCAUGCACGGCAACCACCCAGGCCUCGUUGAUCUCAGCGCCGAGGACGUCGCCCGCGUUGGCUGGAAGGUGGACGAGCUACUCAAGAGCCUCGGCGAACGCAUGGCAAAAAACCAUGUCCAGGCGCCGCCGCCAGCUCCAUCCGUCAGCACCGACAGCAUCGACAUGGCGCCUCCCUCGCAGUAUCUGACCCGCUGUGCAUGGCCAGCUAUCGUGCGAUCGAUCUCUCGUUAUUUAUUUACGCUCGUUUCACCCGCGCUAACCCCGAAUCUGACCGGUCGGGCCCACGAAUCAGUUGCCACGCAGGAAACGGACGGCCGCCGCGCGUUGACGGCCGUUAACGGCCCGUCCGCCUGUCGGAACGGCGGCUGUCGGUGGUCCAACAAGUGA
This 747-nucleotide ribosomal RNA is filed under the name Triticum aestivum (bread wheat). Its description in RNAcentral is "partial small subunit ribosomal RNA". Lineage: Eukaryota; Viridiplantae; Streptophyta; Magnoliopsida; Poales; Poaceae. The record is from RNAcentral.